AAGUCGUAACAAGGUUUCCGUAGGUGAACCUGCGGAAGGAUCAUUAUUACGUAUCCAACGUAUAAACCAAUGUGAACUGUCUCCGCUCAGAGUAGGGUCAAUGGCACGUCGCGUUAAGGUCUCACUGUUAGUGAUGGGACUGCGGCGUGUCUCUGCUAGAGCUUUCGGGCUCUGUGUGGGACCUUGCUUUGAAGCUGGUAUUCUCACUAACUUUAACUUUAUUAACCCAUUGCACUAUGCAUUGAACUAACUAUGUUUCGCGCUUUGUGGGUCCUUCGGGGCUAGCGGGCUCGAAAUCUAUUUACGUAACUUGAACAACUCUUAGCAACGGAUAUCUUGGCUCUC
Molecule: unclassified non-coding RNA, 345 nt
Filed under: fungal sp.
Lineage: Eukaryota; Fungi
Description: partial internal transcribed spacer region
Rfam family: Eukaryotic small subunit ribosomal RNA (bases 1-46)
Source: RNAcentral